This is a non-coding RNA of Podarcis lilfordi (Lilford's wall lizard), 72 nucleotides long. Lineage: Eukaryota; Metazoa; Chordata; Lepidosauria; Squamata; Lacertidae. The record is from the annotation of a GenBank genome assembly.
GGUCAUAGCUCAGUGCUAGAGCAUCUGCUUUGUCGUACAGAAGGUCCCAGGGUAUGAUCCCUGGCAUCUCCA